GAUGAACGCUGGCGGCGUGCCUAAUACAUGCAAGUCGAGCGAACGGACGAGAAGCUUGCUUCUCUGAUGUUAGCGGCGGACGGGUGAGUAACACGUGGAUAACCUACCUAUAAGACUGGGAUAACUUCGGGAAACCGGAGCUAAUACCGGAUAAUAUUUUGAACCGCAUGGUUCAAAAGUGAAAGACGGUCUUGCUGUCACUUAUAGAUGGAUCCGCGCUGCAUUAGCUAGUUGGUAAGGUAACGGCUUACCAAGGCAACGAUGCAUAGCCGACCUGAGAGGGUGAUAGGCCACACUGGAACUGAGACACGGUCCAUACUCCUACGGGAGGCAGCAGUAGGGAAUCUUCCGCAAUGGGCGAAAGCCUGACGGAGCAACGCCGCGUGAGUGAUGAAGGUCUUCGGAGCGUAAAACUCUGUUAUUAGUGAAGAACAUAUGUGUAAGUAACUGUGCACAUCUUGACGGUACCUAAUCAGAAAGCCACGGCUAACUACGUG
RNAcentral lists this ribosomal RNA (497 nucleotides) under uncultured bacterium. RNAcentral describes it as "partial 16S ribosomal RNA". It matches the Rfam family "Bacterial small subunit ribosomal RNA", at positions 28 to 507 of the family's 1533-position model. The record is from RNAcentral.